CCUACGGGGGGCAGCAGUGGGGAAUAUUGGACAAUGGGGGGAACCCUGAUCCAGCCAUGCCGCGUGUGUGAAGAAGGCCCUCGGGUUGUAAAGCACUUUCAGUGAGGAAGAACGCCUGGUGGUUAAUACCCAUCAGGAAAGACAUCACUCACAGAAGAAGCACCGGCUAACUCCGUGCCAGCAGCCGCGGUAAUACGGAGGGUGCGAGCGUUAAUCGGAAUUACUGGGCGUAAAGCGCGCGUAGGUGGCUUGAUAAGCCGGUUGUGAAAGCCCCGGGUUCAACCUGGGAACGGCAUCCGGAAGAGUCUAGCUAGCGUGCAGCGUAUUAGGUUAUAACGCCCGGGCAGGCGGUGAAGUGCGUAGAGUUCAGGAGGAAUGCGAGUGGCGAAGGAGGCCUUCUGGACAGACACUGAUCAUGUGGUGCGAAAUCGUCGGUAGCACAUAGGAAUAGCAACACGAGGAGUC
Molecule: ribosomal RNA, 465 nt
Filed under: Vreelandella stevensii
Lineage: Bacteria; Pseudomonadati; Pseudomonadota; Gammaproteobacteria; Oceanospirillales; Halomonadaceae
Description: partial 16S ribosomal RNA
Rfam family: Bacterial small subunit ribosomal RNA
Source: RNAcentral